Molecule: small nucleolar RNA, 67 nt
Organism: Diceros bicornis minor
Lineage: Eukaryota; Metazoa; Chordata; Mammalia; Perissodactyla; Rhinocerotidae
Product: small nucleolar RNA SNORD108
Exons: 1
Source: RefSeq, a predicted model, not a curated record
GUUUUAUGAUCUCAUUGUUUCUUGAGCUUGAUGACAGCUUUCAUUCCUGCAAAUGGAAUCUGAAGUC